UACAGAGGUGGCAAGCGUUGUUCGGAAUUAUUGGGCGUAAAGAGCUCGUAGGCGGUUUGUCGCGUCUGCCGUGAAAGUCCGGGGCUCAACUCCGGAUCUGCGGUGGGUACGGGCAGACUAGAGUGAUGUAGGGGAGACUGGAAUUCCUGGUGUAGCGGUGAAAUGCGCAGAUAUCAGGAGGAACACCGAUGGCGAAGGCAGGUCUCUGGGCUGACACUGACGCUCAUGCACGAAAGCGUGGGGAGCAAACAGG
RNAcentral lists this ribosomal RNA (253 nucleotides) under uncultured bacterium. Its description in RNAcentral is "partial 16S ribosomal RNA". It matches the Rfam family "Bacterial small subunit ribosomal RNA", at positions 524 to 776 of the family's 1533-position model. The record is from RNAcentral.